GCGAGGCCGCCGGGGGCCCUCGUUCCCUCAGCCGGCCGUGAACCGCGCCUGGCAGCCGCUCCCGCCUGACCCGCCGCCCGCUCGGCGUGCCGGCCCUGCUCUCCGACGCCGGGGCCGGCCGCGCACCGGCGCGGGGAGAGCGCUGGGGGCGCGACCCGCCACCCGCACCUGGCGGGGCCCUGGAGCAGAGGGGCGCCCAGACGCCACUGCCUCCGGCUGCCCUGCUCUGCUGAAAGCAUCCUUCGCUUAAUUAACGCAGUUCACUUAAUGAGACCUUCUCUGCCUGCCCACUGGUUCCAAUACACAGCACACAGGACACUGGGUUCACAAAAGGGCAAUAGCGUGAAUUCUCGUCAGCCCUUCCUGCCCAGCCUUGGUAGAGCCGGGCCCUGUGGGGGCAGAGAGGACAGAGGACGGCAGGCUGGAGCAGCCGGGACCUGCUGUCUCCUUUCCGCUCCUUGUCACUGGGGAAAAGUGUAUGGGGAUGACCCUCAAACAAGUUGGCCUUAGGAAUGAAAUGACUAUCGCUGUAGUGCAGCUGAGACUCUCCCAUAGCAGCUUUGUUUAAUGAACAAACUGACUAGCACUACUUCAGCUAAGCAUUUCCCACGUAGUAUGAAUUCCAGGUAACAGGAAAUCGAAAGGUUAAAAGGUAGGCUCCUUACAUCAUGUCAUAUUCUGAAUGACCAAAAGUGACUUGAGCGUGUGAAACAGCUUUGAAGUAAUUGAAUUCCAAAAAUGGUUAAUUCCUCUGCAUUCCCUGGCUCUUGUAUGCUUGGCAUGUGCUCCCAUGGAAAGUGGAGUGUCAGUGAACGAGAAGGACCUAGUCAGGCAAUUGCGUGUGUGGUGAGGGAAAAUUGGAGUGAGCAGUGACUGAGCUGGACUCUGAACUGUGUAAAAUGCAUCACACAAUUGUGCUGGCUAAUGUAUGAGGAGGAAUUACUGCACUACGGAUUAUCCUAGGAAAUGCUCUGGGAAAUUCUUGACCCAAAGAAUGAGAUAGCUUCAGAAUUGUGUAUAUUAGGGCAAAGCCAAAAUUAUUGUCUGCCUUUUUAACUUAGAAGAUAGAGUAUACCGUCUGAAGUAGGCCUCUUUACUGUACAGUGAUUCAUAGAAGAAAAACCUCAACUGUCUCAAGAUAAAGAACAGAGAGAAGAGAAAUGAUGAUGAUGAUGAGAGUUGUGCCAGUAAAAAAACCCUAAAAGAUCAGCAAGAGCAAAGAUACAUGGACUGCUCUAACCUGUAUUGGUUUAACUCUUUAUGCUAGUUGAGAUAAUUUUUCCCCCUUCUUGCAAUCAGUAUUCUCAGCAUAAAGCUGAGGAGCACAGUGAAUUCAGUAUCAUAUAUCACAGAGUAUUUCACUUCUGUAACUGUAAUGGUACAAAAAAGAACAGCUUAUCUGUUAACUGUUUGCUGGAUAAGUAAUUGGUUGGUCACAUCCAGUGGGUGGUGGUUAAGGGCUCCGAGUCCUGAUGGACACGAGUCUCUCAGGGGUCUGUACUGGGACCAGUUCUAUUCAAUGUCUUUCUCAGUUACAUAGGUGAAGGGAUCAUCAAGUUUGCAGAUGACACCAAGCUGAGUGGUGGAGUUGACACACCUGAAGAAUGCAAUACGAUCCAGAUGGACUGGGACAAGCUCAGGAACCAGUCCAUGGAAAUCUCACGAGAUUUAACAAGGCCAAGUGCAGCGUGGUGCACCCAGAUAACUUUAAAACAGUUUUCAAGUACAGUCACACAAAUUCAGCAGAGGAGCAGCAUUUUAAAGGAAGUUCUACCAGGUCUUAUGAAAAUUGGCAUCUGAGUAAAGAAAGACGAUCCAAAUUGGGAUGCCACUCGGAGGGAUCUUGACAAACUUGUAAGGUUGGCCUAUGCAACCCUCAUGAAGUUCAACAAGGCCAGGUGCAAGGUCCUGCACCAGUUUUAGCGCAAUCCCAAGCAUGAAUGCAGGUUGGGCAGAGGACAGAUUGAAAGUAAUCCUGAGGAGAAGGACUUGGGAGUGUUGAUGGCUGAGAAGCUCAGCAUGACCCACCGAUGUGCACUUGCAACCCAGAGAGCCAGUCACAUCCUGGGCUGCAUCAAGAGAAACAUGGUCAGCAGGUUGAGGGAGGAGUUUCCUCAUCUCUGCUCUGCCCUUGUGAGAUCCGACCAAAUACUGUGUCCAGCUCCGGUACUUCCAGCAUAAGUAGUUUGUGGACCUGCCGGAGGAAGCCCAGAGGCGGGUCAUGAAGAUGAUGCGAGGGCUGGAGCACCUCUCCUAUGUAAACAGGCUGAGAGUUGGCAUGUUUGUCCUGGAGAAGAGUUGGCUCCAAGGAGACCUCAUAACUCCUUCCAGUACUUAAAGAGAGCUUAAAGAUGCUCAAGUACAGCAGACUAUUUCCAAUUGUCCAACAUAUUUUUGUAAACCUUUUGUUCAGUUUAGUUCCACAGCUUCCCCAUGCAGCUUGCUUACACCUCUCUUCUUGUAGAGUUGCUUCUGUUCGCAGUACAGUUUUCUGUAUUGGAAAUUACUCUGAUUUGUUCUUGUCCUUCCUUCAGGAGGCAUACAGAUUGGUUGCUGUCCCCUUGCAAGCAAUCUUGUACACAUGAAAGACUCCUAUCAUGUCUUUCCUCAGUCUUCUAGACUAAACAAAGCCAAUUUCUUUAAUCUCUCUUCAUAGUUCAUAUUUUCUGAACCUCUUCAUCUCCACUUUGGACUUUUUCCAGCUUUUCUUUAGCUUUUUUGAAAAGCAUGGUUAUAAAAACUCUUAUGCAAUGCAAUUCUCCAUCUAAAGCCCUAAUAAGACUUAGGGAAAAAAAUUAGUCUCUUAUGUAUAGAAUAUUUCUGGUAGCAUGUAUUGGCAUGGCAGUGGUCUCCUCUUUCUUUCCUUAGAUGUUAGUUUUGCAAAGUGUCAUAGCAUUAAUUUUUAUGCUGCCUGCGGUUUAAUACAGGCCUCCAGUCCUGUCAAUGUUUUUUAUUGUCUUGCCAGUUAUUUUUGCAUUAUAUUUAACUUCUUGUUCAUAUAUACAGGAGCUGGUCUUCGCUGUGAUGAAUUUCAACUUAGUUUUUUGUAUACAAGACUGUUUAUAAGGUAGAGCAUUUUGCAUCUUAACAUGGUUUAAGGCAAGUUUGCUAAGGUAAGUGAAGACCAAGAAUCUGUUAUAACUGCACAGAGCAAGCCAGCAAGUCUUGGUGGUUACUGUCAGUAUUAGAGCAUUUAUUACAGAAGUACUCAAGAAUAUUCUUCAAAUAUUUGUAGACUUAUAUUAUUCAAUUACGGGGCUGGAAAACAGAGGCAUGAAGGAAGGCCUUGACAGUAAGAUUUUUAAAAACUGCAAGUCUAAAUUUGGUGUCCCUGCAGAACAGCCUUGGAUGUAUUGGCCAAAUGUAAACUAUUUGCUUCCUAAGAAUGUCUGAUUUCCUGCAAUGGUAAAGGCGUCCAAACUUGAAGGCCGUUUGGAAAAUUUUGUCCAAAGGAACCUAUCUGAAAACAUCAAGCCAAGGCAUAAACAAGGCAUAAGCUGGAAUGUAAUUUGAGUGUCUGUAUCUAGGAGUACAUACUAUCUUAUGUCUUGGCAACAGGUCUGAAGUAAAAUAUACAGCCUUGCAGCUAUGCUUAGCUCCGGCACAGCACUAACCGGCAGCCUCUCUGUACCACAGCUGUGCAUGCCUAGCUGGCUCAGUCUGUGGCUAGAGUUAAUGCAAGACUAUCUCCAUUGUUCAUUCAGACAAACACUGAAUCUUUGUUUUCAGUCUUUUCCUCAACAGGUAGACAAAGCACUGUACUGCCUCACAUUGGCAGCCUAACAUUUUUUGUUGAUAAAAUUAAAGAUUUGAGGAUACCAGCUGCAA
Passer domesticus (house sparrow) is the source of this 3828-nucleotide long non-coding RNA. RefSeq lists it as uncharacterized. The record is from RefSeq and is a predicted model, not a curated record. NCBI's taxonomy places the organism in Eukaryota, Metazoa, Chordata, Aves, Passeriformes, Passeridae. The transcript has 2 exons.